UUUUAAGAUGGAAUAUAUCUUUUUAUGUGAUGUGGAGCUUGUAAAUAAUGACCGCAUAAUUAGCCUAAGUAAUGGGGCAACCUGCCGCCACAGAGCCAAAGUGCCCUAUUGAAGUUGCAAGUUUCUAGUAUUGAUUCCAUGAUCAAAUGUGUUUCAAUUUGGUAUUUUUGCAUAUAUAUAUAUAUACACACACAUACACACAUAUAUAUACACACAUACACAUAUAUAGACAUAUACACACGUACGUACACAUAUGUAGACAUAUACACACGUACGUACACAUACAUAGGCG
This 292-nucleotide long non-coding RNA is filed under the name Phoenix dactylifera (date palm). RNAcentral's name for it is "long non-coding RNA (PDAC_LNC016219)". The record is from RNAcentral. Lineage: Eukaryota; Viridiplantae; Streptophyta; Magnoliopsida; Arecales; Arecaceae.